GGUUGCGACGGCGCCGGGGCAUAAGCCUGGUUCUGGCUCGCGUAACCGCCGUUCGAACCGGCGUCGUAGCCGCC
This 74-nucleotide transfer RNA is filed under the name Burkholderia gladioli. RNAcentral's name for it is "tRNA-Gln(ctg)". Lineage: Bacteria; Pseudomonadati; Pseudomonadota; Betaproteobacteria; Burkholderiales; Burkholderiaceae. The record is from RNAcentral. RNAcentral also lists the same sequence under 1 other name.